GAUGAACGCUGGCGGCGUGCCUAAUACAUGCAAGUCGAGCGAACAGAUAAGGAGCUUGCUUCUCUGAUGUUAGCGGCGGACGGGUGAGUAACACGUGGGUAACCUACCUAUAAGACUGGGAUAACUCCGGGAAACCGGGGCUAAUACCGGAUAAUAUUUUGAACCGCAUGGUUCAAUAGUGAAAGACGGUUUCGGCUGUCACUUAUAGAUGGACCCGCGCCGUAUUAGCUAGUUGGUAAGGUAACGGCUUACCAAGGCGACGAUACGUAGCCGACCCGAGAGGGUGAUCGGCCACACUGGAACUGAGACACGGUCCAGACUCCUACGGGAGGCAGCAGUAGGGAAUCUUCCGCAAUGGGCGAAAGCCUGACGGAGCAACGCCGCGUGAGUGAUGAAGGUCUUCGGAUCGUAAAACCCUGUUGUUAGGGAAGAACAAAUUUGUUAGUAACUGAACAAGUCUUGACGGUACCUAACCAGAAAGCCACGGCUAACUACGUGCCAGCAGCCGCCGUAA
Molecule: ribosomal RNA, 514 nt
Filed under: uncultured bacterium
Lineage: Bacteria
Description: partial 16S ribosomal RNA
Rfam family: Bacterial small subunit ribosomal RNA
Source: RNAcentral